This 27207-nucleotide long non-coding RNA is filed under the name Ananas comosus (pineapple). Its description in RNAcentral is "long non-coding RNA (ACOM_LNC015929)". Lineage: Eukaryota; Viridiplantae; Streptophyta; Magnoliopsida; Poales; Bromeliaceae. The record is from RNAcentral.
CGGAUAACAUGGUAUUUAGUCAAGGAUUGUGCAAAUAUCCUCUAAGGUAUCGUUUGAUUUGGGAAUAAAUAAAAAGUGUCUAUUUCGGGGAUAGAUAUAAAUUGAGGUAUAAGCGGGGAUUAAAUUAAUUUUGCGUUUGGAUGAAAAUUAGGUUAUUCUUGGGAAUAAAAAAAAAAGCUUUUGUAUAGGUAAGAUAGAAUAAGAAGAAUAGUGAGUUUUAUAAAAAAAAAAAUAAUGUAUUAUCCUCUUAUUAUAUUUAAAUUUAAAUUUUUAAAUUUUUAAAUUAUAUUUUUAAAUUUAAAAUUUCAACUUUGAAAUUUCAAAAGUUGAAAUUAAAAUUUUAAAUUUUAAAUCUCAAAAUUUCAAUUCAAAAUUUUAAAUUUUAAAUCUCAAACUUUAAAUUUAAGAUCAAAUUUAAAUUUGAAAAAUAUAAAAUAUUAAAUUUCAAAAUAUCAAAAUUUGAAUUUUAAAUUUUAAAUUUUAAAUUUUAAUUUUGAGAUUACAAAUUAAAAAUUUUUAAAUUUAAAUUUNAUGUAUUAAUAUAAUAUAAUUAAUAAUUUUAUAAUAAAAAUAAUGUAUUAUAAUAUACAAUAUAUUAUAUUUAUAUAAUUUAGUUUUAAUUCAACUUAUAAUUUUAAUUUUGUAAUUAAACAUUGUAAUAGUACUAUUCCAUCAAAAUGGUGAAAAUUCCCGCUUAUCCCCUUACCAAACAGAUCCUAGAAGUUUUCAAAACAUUAAAAAACAAUCGCCUUACAUAAUUUAAUAUGAAAACAAAACAUGUGAGUCUGAGUUCGAAUCACACCAAAUUCCUAGUUUAGAUUAAUUUUCUUCAUUUAGUUCAAGUGUGUAUUUUAUAGACUUUGCUCACAAAUAUGGGGACAUGGAAAAAAUGUAUUUAGUUUAAGACAUUAGAUCUUUAUAUAUACCGGUUCUACCAAGGCUAGAAUGAAUAUAUGAUGUUGAAGUUCCGAGGGUCCACUAAAAAGCAUAGAAGAAGAUAAGAUUUACAUGAUAUAGAUCUCAACUCUAGUAGGGGUUCAAUAUUAAGCUAUACUUAGAUACUUCAAUACCCCACCUUGAGUCUAUAUAUAGAACCCUUCAACCACUUUUUUAAAGAUGAUAAUAAAGCACUCCAUCUCUUAUAAAAAAAGGGCAAGAAAAAAAUCUAGAUGUAGGUCCUCUAAUAGUCUAUUGGUAAUGGAUUAGGUUUGUACUGGUUUUGUGAAAAUUGAGAUACAAAGAUGCUACAAAUAUAUAAAAUAAAUAAUUGAGCAUCUAUUUAUGACGGCCAACCUAUUUUUGUAAAUGUAGGAAGUUGAAUUCAUGCCUAUAUUUGUUUCUGUAACCGAUGUCGUGAGAUUACCGAAACUGGCACUCACAAUUGUACGAAAAUCAAUCUUUUGACUUCAACCAGGUGGGAGGCGAAAUCUGAUUUGUAAAACUUAUAAAUUUUUCUCAAAUUUUUUGCUUCUAAAUAGUCUUUUGCGAUCUAAUUAUGAUGUUGUACCUUUUAUGGCAUGAGCUAAUAAACUUAGCCUGAAGAGGACAAGGAUAAAAAUGUAUGGAUCUCAUUUAGAAUAUAUAUAUAAAAAAAAACAAUUUGCCCCUCCACAGUUUAGUUUAUUUUUACCGUGCCAUUUUGUGGUCCAAAAAUUUGUAUUUAACUAUCCAAUAAUUUUAUCCCUAUUUUUAUUUAAAAAAUCUACUAUCAAAUAGUAUUUCAAAGCAUUUUUUUUCAUAACCUUAGAAAAAUUAAAUAUAAUUUUUAGAACCACAUGAUGAGAAAGUUUAAAUGAGCUAAACCAUAGGAGGGCAAAUUGAAGUUUACCCAAAAAAAUGCAUGGACCUCGCAAAAUAGGUACCUAAAGUUUACAUAUUUUGAUUUUACUAUGUAAGCUUAUAAUAUAUUUGAUUCAGUAUUUCCCCAUCAGAAUUUAAAGAGAUAUUUUUUACUCUUUUGAUAGAAUAUUUUGUAAUCUAAUACAAUAUUCCACUAUUUAAUGUAGUCUACAAGUUUCUAAAGGAAAAUUGGUAAAUUCUAGAAGAAUCUGAUAAAAUUUUUUCAGAAAUUUUUAGAAAUAAAAAAAUGUAAGAUAAGAGAGUGAAUUUAAAUAUAUAGUAAGAUAAUAAGAGAGUGAAAUCAAUUUUUUUUAAAAUUCAGGCAUCCAUUUCAAAAAAUUGCUACAGCUACCACAUUAUUAUUAUUUUCAUUAAUUUUCUCUGAUCCUCUUAUCACUAGAUAAGAGUUGCACCAAAAGGAUCACCAAAUAAUAUUUGUCAUAUCAUAUAUAGGGCCAACAAGUUAGUACAAUCUACUUAUUAGCACAUUCCUACCGGUGGAUCGUCUCCUAACCUAGUCCUAUAAUCCACAAAAAAAAAAACCAGGAUAUUAAAUUAAGAAAAUGACCUUUUGGAUUAACACAACUAAACUAUUACACUAAGUACAAAUGACCAUAGCCUUACGCCCAAAGAUAAAUAAAAAAAAAACCCAUGAUCAUAUUGGUUAGUAUCAUCAAACAGUGUGUUAUGUAGUGCCGUGGCCCGACAACCUCGAUUUCCCAGCAAUAAGUGGAGGAAUUAUGUAGCGCACAACACCCUUAAACAAUAGGAUUAUGCCUUGUUUUCGUCCUUGUUUACAUGGUGGUCAAAAGUUUAACUCUUAAACUAAGUUAAAUCCACAUGGCACGAAGCUGCUGCUUUCGUUGAACCGCGAUUCCGGUGGUCUUUAUGAAGUUUUUCGACUGUUGGUUUAGUCUCUCUCCAAGUUUUGCGCAUAACAGUGGAUUAGGAGGGAACUCAAUUUAUCAGAAUAAAUGGGCGUGGCCACUGUUAGAUGUUAACAUAUCACCCCCUCCAUGGUGAAAUGAUAACACUAUAUAAGUGCGAGUGGGCCGAGUUAGGUCAAAUGCUAUCACGGCCUAGACCCGUUUUAACUAUGACCUGGGCUGAACCCAAUCUAGUCCUGAUAAACUAAACCUAAGUCACGGAUUGAAUGAUGAUCACAUAGUAGUGUCUGGUAGGUAGGCAAUAAUCAAACUUUAAAAUCAUAUUAAGUGCAAAAUAUGGCCAAGUGAUUGUGCAUGUACAAAUUUCACAAGAAAAGAGAUGGGGAAAGAUACCUGAAAAAGGCAGACCUUUAUUAGUGAUGCCAGAUCAAGUCAUAGUGAUGUUGGAUGAGCCUGUAAUGAAAAUUGUACGAAAUAAGUUGAUUCUAAUUCGAUUUAGGACAAAAUGCGGAACAAUCCAAUAACAUUUAUAUCAAGCAUACCUGUUGGUUUAAGUUGUUUUUCUUCCUUGUAGUCCCCUCAAUCAAAGCAUAGAAUAGAGUAAGCACAAAGACCUCUUAUUCGAACAGGUAGAUACUGCUCCCCUGUCAAAUCAUCUUGAAAUUGCAUCUCAAACUAUUGUAGGAUCCUUCUAUCUUUGUCCCUUUUUUGGUGUUCUAAAGAUGCUUUGUUUGUAUCCCUGCCAUUCUCUCCCAAUGGAGAAGAUGCUUGGUUUGUAUUGAAACCACUGUAACAUACGGCACGUGUCAACUCAUUUAUUCAUUACGGAAACAGCAGUUGAAUCAAUAACUGUGCUUAGAACUUUUCAAAGAAAACUCAACAGGAACAAAAAAACCAUUCAAUAGGCUGAACAAGCACAUCAACUAUAGGUCUCUCUCUGGUGCUAAAUUCUGUGAGAGACUUAAGUAUAGAAGUAUCUAUCAUAGAUGAAAAUUCAACUGCUUAAACGAAUCUAUUACCCAGGAAAACGAUGAUAACCAUACUAACACAAUAACAGCCUAGUUUAAUAGGUAAAGAAGGUUAGAGAUAGAAGUAGAGCAACAAGAAAUCUAUCUAAAAAUUUUACAUAUUAUAUCAUCCAUUUGUAAGGUGAUCAGACUGUGGAAAGAUUAGAAAUAAUAGUGAAACAAUAUCCGUUAGCAAUGUCGAAGUCUCUGAUUAGAUAAAAGAACAUAAAAUAAUGAUCAUUGAUGCUACCCAAAUGGUUAUCCUGAAAAUUGGACCUCACUAUCACAUUUGUCAAUAUCGGUACCACCUCCGCUCUCGCCAUAUCCAUCACCGCCAUCAUUGUCCUCACAUGACACCUAACCCCAUGCCUAAUCAUUUUAAAUCAAGAAAAUGGCUCAAUAUGUGUUCCUCUUGACUGAUCCAUAGACUAAAGUAACAAGAAUAAAACCACUAGCACUGUAAACAAAAUGAAAAGAUAAGUCUCACACCCUGAAAGUGUUUUCCAUACUAACAUUACGUACAAGCUGCUUUGAGAAUUAACUUACCCAGCAAAGUUAGAUGGAAGAACUAACUUCUAAGAUAUCAAGCCCUGAAUUAUUUGAUUUUCCUUCUAAACAGAUGAGAAAUACAAGUAUCUAUGAUAAUAAUUCAGUAAGUUUUCUUGUAAUCAGUUGAAUUCAGGCACUUUACUACAACAGUGAAAAAACUAACACAAUUUUAUAACUCAAUUGUCUCAUAAUCUGUUAAUUCCAGGCAGUUUACUACAAUAACAAGAAACUGAACUUUAAAGCGAAAAUAAAAAUCAUACUGGAUGUCUUUAUCAUGCAAAACCCUUUUAGAUUCACUAAUCCAAAUAUCCCAACAAUGCCUACUAGUGGAAGAUACUUUUUCUCACCCUAGUAUUUAAGUGUUAGUGAAGAUUAUUCUUUUCACCUUCAGGCAUUGGUUGUUCCUUAAAUCAUAGUAAAGUAUGCUUGCAAGCAGCCAAGAUAUAACUAAACACAGUGAUCUCCAGUUUAUCAGGCACAGCAAGGAUCUAUUAUUAUGUCUCACAAAUAAUCAGGACGAUGCAAAUUUUUAUCUUCAAGUAUAUUUUACAUCCUUAUGUUCUCUUCUAGUAUUAUGAAGCCGUGAAAAGCACCAACAAGACAUAAUUGAACAGUCAGAUGAACAGGGCAAGUAACGUGAUACGCAAAAUAAUCAAUUAACAAGAUGCUGCAUUUUAAUGCAUCACGGUAAAAUAAUCUUCCAAGCACUUCCAGGUUUACUGAGGUAAGAGAACACCAUUUCGGGCUGAUAGAUACUCACUUUCACCGUAACAAUAAUAUGUUGGUUUCAUCAGAGUAAUGCACAUACUGUGCACCACAAAGGUAGAAAAAAAUAUUAUUUACUAGUUUUACUAGGUUUGCUCCAUUAAAAGCCAGAUACAAACAUUUCCCUCUAGUUAAACCUUCAGCAAAUCAUAGCAUUAGCAAUGAAGUAAAUAAUUUGAUAGUAAGACUUCAUUAAAAAGACCGACCUCAGCUUUGACAUAAACAGAUUAGACUGGUAAGCAACUACUGAAAAUCACUUGUAAGCGACCUGUAAGAACUGUCUCGAAACCAACCUACACCAGCACAAAAAGAGUUGCUAUAGAUGACAUCAAGCAUCUCCCUGAUGCAUCAGUCGCUUACCCAUUAAAACAAAUUUCCUUUCAAACACAUACCCCUUCACUGCAAAACACAACAACAAUUUAGGCAGAAUUGUUGUCCUCUCCAUUUUUGCGAUUUUAGGCAUUGUCUCAAUGUUCAUAUCGUCUAUAAAUACUAAUAUCUGAAGAGCUCUUAAGAAACUUGUAAAACCUAGAGAUGACAAGAUGCGAAUAACCUUACACUUAUCAGUUGUAUCAUUCUUUAGGUGGUGCUGACUAAUGACUUAACUCGAAAUAAUACUUCGUCUCAGAAUUCGUAAAAGAAACAAAGUAAAAGAAAAUGUAAAGCUAUAUUAUGAUCCUUUCAACCUACUUCGGUUAAGAGAGCCUAAAUCGCCUUUCAACAAAAUUGCUGUAUCCCAGUAAAUCAGACACCAGAAAUUAAUCAAGCACUACACUGUCCAGCACUCCAAAGUUUCCUAAUCCCACAUUAUGACUAGAAUUCCUUGUCUCUUAGACCCAAACCAGUUUACUCGUUAUCAGUACCAAAGGGGGUAUCCGAAGUUCGAUUAGCACCUUAAGGUUCCAUUGCACCUAAGGUUAUCUUAGCAUAACAUGUCGCCAUUUACAGUCACUGCAUUAUACAGCAAGUGCCCAGUACCAAUUCAGUAAGUAGUUAGUAAGAACAUAGAAAUAUUCAUCUGAUAGGUAGCCUCUUGACAAAGAAAGCCUAAUGGAUUAACUUAUAUCAACUUUUGCAUCUAUUAAGUCGUUGACGAGGUCGAAAUAGAAGGAGCACGCAAUGUAAGCAGCUGGAUAAAGAGAUUACUCAAAAAAUCAUUAGGUUGGGUGGGCAGAUUCAACCUGAUACAGCAUGACAUGAUAAGAAUUCACAAGCCCACAUUGCUGAUAUGGGAUAGAGAAAUUACCGUUCGCUGCAACAAUACUUUUUGCAAGACCACAAAACAAGAUCAAGAAAAAUACAUGCGAACGGCGGGCAUAAAACAAUACUGAAGGACUUGCUUUUGGGCACAUUUCUACCGGACGACGGCGGCUCAAUUAACGAAGGAUUUGUUAAGCAAUAAAUGGAUUUUAAAACGGAUCAAAUAAGAACUUCUGAAGAACAAGAAAUCACCCAUUCUAAGAGCUCUCAUAUUUGUAACGCAAGUAAAGGUAUUCCGCCGUGGGAUUCGUUCACAAGAAUUUGUAUGAACGACCAAUCCUCUGAUCCCUCUGCGGUGAACAAAAUAAUCGCGAUACAUUGCUUCCUUCUUACCAGUUCAUUGUGCUAAACCCACUAAUUCAACAACAAAACUCUAAAUUUCACAUCCUGAAUCAAAAGGUGCAUCGAAUCGAAACAACAAUCCCCCUCCCACCAAACAGUGUAAAAGCCAAUUUGAAUGUGUAUGAUUGCUUGUUCAGAGCUUCGCUGAGCAUAAAUGAGAAAAAUACGAUCAUGCAUAUACAUACAUAUAUAUAUAUAUAUAUAUAUAUAUAUAUAUAUAUAUAUAUAUANUAUAUAUAUAUAUAUAUAUAUAUAUAUAUAUAUAUAUAUGGCUCAAUGAACAACAAAUGCGGGUACUCACAUGAUCAGAGUUUGCGAUUGAUGAUUCGAACGAAAAUCAGGUAGUAUUACUAAAUUAAAUACCUGCUGUGUACAGUAGAAUGUGACAAAUGUGGCAUAGAUAUUAAAUCAGAUGCUUAAUUAACAUAAGAUUCACAUACUGCGCACAUCAAAAUUAGACAUGCACUCGGAUCAACAAAUCGAAACCCUAGAACAAGUGUGGUGAGUAGAGAUAGACAGUGCAAAGAUGACCACCUGGUGAAGAAAUCGGCGCCGGAAUCGUCACGAAGAUGAAAUCGGUGCGAUUCGGUGCCGUUUUCUUCGUAUUUCCCGCGAACGCUCCGCCAAAAUUCGAAUUUCGAAGGUGAAAAAUGCGUGGAGAAGUAAAAUGCAGUUCACUAGGCCGAGGCAAUUUCAAGUUUUCAAGCAUUAACCGUGUUUGGGUCGGGCCGGGUCGGCCAACGCGGAGGUUCGGCCCAUAACAUAUUCGGCCCGUUUAUUUAGGCCCAACCUGUUUGCUGAUGAGAAUGAACGAGUCUAUCCAAUUCCAACUCGCCUGUAAAUUUUUUUUUUUCCCUUUAAUAUUUAAAAAUUUGAACGAUAAGAAUAAAGAUGAUUCUGGUGCGUUUGAUCGGAAAUAAGACUCACAGGAGGUCCCAAUCACAGCCGUCCAACUGCCGGCCUGUACGGUAACCUCCCCAGUUUGGCAGUUCCCUCACCUCUCAUUCGGUGUAUCAUCGUGUCCCAACGGACUUUUUUCAAAACGGCCCAAUAAAAUUUUUAACUGAAUAAAUAAUUUUAUGAAAUCUUUUUUUGGCAAAUUAUUUUUUUUUUAUCAUAUAGAAUCAUAUUAAAAUUUUCUCUUAGAGACGGUAAACGUUUCACCGUCUUACUAAUUUUUCACAAAAAUAAUGAAUCAUUUACCAUUUUUUACUUAUUUAUUGUUUCUUUCUAUAUCUCAUAUAUAAUUUUAAUAACCAUAUAAAAAUUUCAACAAUCACAUAUAAUCUUAACAACCUAAAAAUCUUAAUAAUUUAUCACCCAACAAUCAAAUAAAAAUUCUAAUAAUCUACGUAUAAUUCUAAAAAUUCUAAUAAUCUACGUAUAAUUCUAACAACCUUUUUUCUGUUUUUUUUUUAAGUCUGGAAGACUUUCAGAAUGCGGUGAACGAUUACGCGGCUCCGAUCGUGGCGAAGAGAAGAAUAUUAGUUUGCGAAAUAUAAAUUUGGAAGGAUUAUUUUGUAAAAAGGUUCCGCCCAAACAUAUCCAACGGUCAGGAUCUCGUGAUCUCCCACAGUCCAAUAACAUCGCAUCCUCGUGACAUUGACUGCUUCUCUCUCUCUCUCCUCCCCAAGAAGGAAUCGGACAAAAAAAAUCAAAAAACAAACCCCCUGUAGUUUCUUUAUUUGCAUAACUCCAAGGUCACACCCGGUCAAGCCAUUGUACCUGGGCCCAUUCUUUCUCCAUCCAUAUCUUUUAUCUUAUUAUAUAUAUUUUUGGUGAAAAUAUUAUAAUAACCCCUCGACAAUAUUAUAUUUCUGAAAUAACCUGCUACAUUUUACUAUUCCUUAAUUCUUAUACUAGCUCCAUCGAUUUUUUUUUCUUUUUUUUUUAAUUUUUUACCGACCGUCUCUAGAGCAAGUGGCAAAGGGCUUGGUGAUUGAUACCUGAGACCUAAGUUUGAAUCCUAGUUGAUUCACAUUUCUAGCUAAGCGUGCUAUCUAUCUCUCUCAAAAAAAAAAAAAAAAAUUCUUUUUUUUUAUUUAGAUUAUUUUAAAAUAGCCAAGUUGAAGAUCUUAUUAAAUUGAAUAAUUUUAUUGUCUAUUGCUGAUUAAAUGUAUAAUUUUAUUUGGUAAAAAAAUAAUUAAAAUUAUCUGAUUUGAUUGAAUUAGUGAUGAAUACAAUAAAAUCUCCUAAUAACUAUAGUAGGUGAGGUGAUCUCCAUCCAUUUUUUCUAAAAGUAAAAAAUAAAGUUGAAUGGUUAUUUCAAAAUAAUCUAUAUUUGAGGGGGCUCUCCACACAUUUUCACCCAUCUUUUUUUCUCACGCCAACUUUAUUAGAACUUUAACUUUUUUUUCUUCCCCAGCUUUUACUAUUCAGAACAUAGCAAGAUCAAUUCAAUUUUUUUUUGUAUCUCCCAACUCUUUUGUACUCUUCACCACUACAAAAAGCGCUCCACCUUUCUCUGCUUCCUUUUACUAGGCUUUUUCGGCUUCUUGGAGAAGAGCUUUUCAUUUUUAUUUUAUUUUUAUUUUUCUCAAGAGGUGUGUAGUGAUCAUCAUCACCAUGGGGAGAGCUCCGUGUUGUGAUAAGGCCAAUGUUAAGAGGGGGCCAUGGUCCCCCGAAGAGGAUGAUGCUUUAAGGAACUACGUUGAGAAACAUGGGAGUGGUGGGAGCUGGAUAUCCUUGCCUCAAAAAGCAGGUUUUUUUUUUUAAAAAAAAAAAUUAUUUUUCUUCCUCCUUAUUGUGUAUUUUCUUUGUUUCUCGAGUGCCCAUUUGUAAAUUUUUAUCUAUUUUGUCACUUUUUUAAUAUUUUUUUUGCAACCUUAGUUGCUUCAACAUUUUUUUUUUUUUGGAGUAAAUAAUAUUAUGAUCCAAGAGUAGUGGGUUUUUGUUUUUUGUUUCUCCUCUCCUUUGAGAACAAAUAGAAGUGGAUGUUUAGAAUGAGUAAUCAAUCACAAAAGGAGAGAAUGGCUUUUGAGCUUUCUCAAGUUGGUGUUUAAUUUCAUCUUUUAUGCUAUUGAACAAUGCUUUGUUUUUCACUUUAAUUCCCUAAACUACCUUAUAUUUAUUUUUUUUAGGCCUCAAACGAUGUGGAAAAAGUUGUCGCUUAAGAUGGCUCAAUUACCUUCGACCUGAUAUCAAGCAUGGUGGCUUCACCGAAGAAGAAGAUAACAUCAUCUACGCUCUCUACCAAAAAAUAGGAAGCAGGUAACUAACACCAACUCUAAGUUUAAAAUUUUACUUUUCCGAUCCCUUCAUUAUCGUCACUUUUUAACUCAUUAUGUGUUUUUCUAUCUUUUAUUAGAUGGUCCGUGAUAGCCUCGCAGCUCCCCGGGAGAACCGAUAACGAUAUCAAGAACUAUUGGAACACGAAGCUUAAGAAGCGUAUGAUCAUGUCGCAAAGUAACGUUCCUACUACUACCGCCGCAGCCGCCGCAUCGCAUAGCGUCGUUCGCACUGCGUCGACACCGCCGCUCAUUAUCCCCACGGUUAAAAUGGAGGGCUACAACUGCGACGAUUUCAUGGCGCCGCCGCCGCCGCCGCCGCCGCCGCCGCCGCCGCCAUUCCCAGAAGCCGAAGUUUUUCUGGAACAUUCUGGGUUCAACGAGAGAGUUCACAAGUUUGCCGAAGAAGGUUCCACCACUUGCUCCUCCAACAUCACGGUUGAGAACAGCAACAUUAACUGGUGCACAAGUGCAUGUGGUGAGAGUUACAUUAAUGGGUUUCUCGCUGAGUUUGGGUUAGGGUCUCCUGGGGAGUUACUGGGUGGGUACUAUGCUAAUUUGGAGAAGAAGGGGGAGCAUGAUGCAAAUUUUGGACCUCUUGGUAACAUGUGGGUUACUGGUGACACCAAGCCAAAAGGUUUAUUCCAAUAUUCUUAGCAUGGUAUCAACAAAAUGAUCUUCUUCUUCUUCUUCUUCUUCUUCUUCUUUCUUUCUUUUUUUUUUUUUUUUUGGUGGAAAACAUCAGCCUCUGAAACUUGAUCUUCUCUUGUUUAGUGGUAGAUGGAUACAUGAAAAUGGAUAUAUUAAUUAGGGCUUAAUUUGACUAUAAGGUUGUGGAGUUUGAGCUACACUAUGUUUUCAUGGCUGGAAAAUUAAGUUUUUGUUUUGUAUUAAUUAGCGCAUUAAUUAUGUUUGAAUUAGCAAACAUGUAUACAUGCAUGUGUAAUGUUGAAUGAGACUCGGUCUUAUGUUUAAUUUGUAGCUGAAUGGCAAGGAAAUGUUGGAGGUCACAAAACUUGCAUGAGAGAGAGAGAGAGAGAGAGAAGAUUCCUUUCUUUUAUGCAUCUUUGGUUCCAAGCUUGUUAAAAAAAAUUGUAUUUUAAUUCAAUUUUUUAAUAUUUUGAUUUUAUUACUAAAUAUUUUAAUUUAUUCGAUUUGACAGACAGUUCGACUUCAAAAUUUAAAUUUUAAUAAGUUGUAUAUCUUUACAAACUUACUUAAUUAUAUAUUUCAUACAAUUCUCAUAAUUAUAAUUUAUUUAAAUAAAUAAUUAGCUUAACUUUUGAAAUUAAAAUUUUAUUGACCGACUUAAACUAAACGAAUUAAAAAAUUCAAUAGUAAAAUUAAAUUUAAAAAAUCAAAUAGUCGAUACAAAAUAAUUCUAUACCAUUUUANCAUAUUUAGAAAAGGAGGAGACAUGAUGGGUACUUCUAGCUAACAAAACAGUAAAAAAUGGGGCCUAUAAAAGAAAUUAUAUAUAUAUAUAUAUAUAUAUAUUGGGUUUAUCUUAUUUUAUUUUAAAACAAAGGGGAAAAAAACAAUGUGGAAAAGGCCUUUUUUCAUGCACAGGCUACAUGAGAGUUUGAACAUGUCAGAGUAUCAACUUCGUACACCACUCGCCUGUCACGUCUCAGCAGACGUUUUUUAAUUUCUUCAGCAGCCUCUGACUCUUGGCUCAACACAUUAAUUAAUUGGUUGCAAUUUGUUUAAUAUAUGAUUAUUAAUUUGCUUACUUCUUCUUAAUUAAUUGAAAGAGUUUAACCAUGUGAAUCUAAUGAAGCUGAGUCGUCGCUGUUCUAGAGCUUAUAGAAAUAUUCGCAAGUUUGUGCAGGGUUGAAUGAUUCUAGAAAUCCAUCGAGCUUAGUCUUAAAGAUCGACAGUCGUUUAAGAUUAAUUUUAACAUAGUAAGAAUUUACUGCAAAUAGUUUUAUAUUAAAUAAUUAUAAAAAAUUUAAAAAAAAUUAGCAUAUACUAGCGGUUCAGAUCUACUAGGUUUAAGCUUUUAGAUCGAAUAAGCUCUCUCAGAUAUAUUGCGUAUUUAGGCUCACGUUGUUCUAAGCAGGGUUUAAAAUUUUCUCAUUACAUGCAUGUGGUGUCAGAACCGAUAGUUUGACAAUCACGAGCUACUUGUCGCUAGCGAUUCUUACAAACACCCUUGUUGGAUAUUUAGGUAAGUCAUUCCAUGAAGAGACAAUAGAAUAAUAAAACAAAAUAAUUGCUAUAAAAUGGGGGACAAGAGAAUCAAACUUCAACCGCGGCGGCUUAAGAUUAGUUUUAGCACCCUUGCUUUAUGGCGAAUGUGAGAAUUCAAUUUUGAGACUCGACAGCUUAGGAUUAGUCUUAACACUCCUGCAGGAUAUUAAGUUAUGUGAUCAUAAAGAUACAAUGGAAUAAUAAAAAAGCUAUUAUCCAUAUAUAUUGAUGGAUACGGGAAUCAAACUCUAAAUCUUUUUUAGGAGAGGGAGUUUGCGACUAACCCCAAGUAGCUCAGGAUUAGUUUUAACAACUUAAAGUAAGUUUUAAAGCAUUGGAAAAGUCUAAUCAAAUGAAAAUGACACCUUUUUUUUUUUUCUUUUUCAACAGUACAGUCUAUCAGAUAGGGAGCCCUUUUGAUGUUGCAUUUGGAGUGUUGAUAUAUACUUAAACUGUUCUAUGGUUUCCUAAAAAACCCUAAAAUUUAAACCCACAAGCAACAAGUGACUAUGAAAGUGUUGGAGCUCUAUUAAUUGUUAGGUGACACAGUAGUUAAGUAGCUUUCCAUUUAUUAAAGUUCCCAAACUACCAUUCCUCCUUCCUAUCUCCUUUUUUUGCAAUCUCACUUAUUGAAAAGUUAUAAUAAAGAGAGAGAAAUUUAGUUGGGGUAUAAAUUAGAAAACUUUUGCUAAAGCAGGAAAUAUUAAGAAUGGCAAUGGACCAUGCUUUAGUGCCAAUUAAGAAAAGGAUUUGGGCGAUUUUGAUAGCUAAGUUUUAACUUCACAUGCUUGUACCUUUCCUCUCAUUCAAAAUUCUUUCUCCGAGAAACCGCGAAACGAUUACAAUUGCUACAAAUUUUCGAAUUCAGUUUAAAUGCCAAAUUUGAAUGAUUACAUUUUAUUCUAGAUAGAGAAUAUUUCAUUUUCGUCAAAAGCAUACCUAGCUAGCUAGCCAUGGUCGCGUAACACUACAACUCGUCUAUGACAAUUUGUACAAAAUUUGCUAAUUAUAGGAGUUUGCUGAUCGAUCGACUUUGUGGUGAUCAACGCGCAAACUAUUGUAAUCGCGUUGCGCUUAAUAGCUUUUUCUCUUCAAAAACUUAUCGUGAUGUAUUAUUUGAUUUUUGAAGAGUCGACAAAAUUACAAGUUUGGUUGAUUCAAGAACCUAAAGUUUCGCCAAUGGACAAGGUCCUAGUUAUUUCUGAAAAUUUAUCCUGGUAAGUAGUAAUGGAACUCUUAAAUUUAUAACCAACUUGCGUUAAUAUACGAGUUAUUUGAGGCAUUUGACCAUUAUAGCUCGGUUUUUUUUUUUUUUUUAAUCCCCUAGUUCUCUUUUUUUUUUUUUUUUUUUUUUGCUUUCUUUUAUUGCUUUUGCUUUUUUUUUUUUCUUUUUGUUUUGUUCUUUGGGNAUGCAUUGGUACACAUUUUUUUUUUUUUUUUUUUUUUUGGUUUGUUUGUUUAACAUUAAACUUUUCCUCUAGAGCAUUGAUUUCAAAGUUUCAUCAAUUCUUGUACCAUAAAGAAAUUUUAGUGCACUGGUUUAGUAUAAAAUACGUUCACCGACAUACAGAAAAAAAAAAGAAAAAAAAAAGAAAAAAAAGAAAGAAAAAUUAAAAAAAGAACAGGAUCACAAUCAUGUUCUUCUAGAUGUCAUGAAUGAAGAGUAGUACAUCUAUAAAUAACAUACCUUUUAAUUUAAAUGUUAAUUUCUAAUUACAGUAUUGUCAUAUAAGAAUAAUUUUAAUUUUAAUUUUAAUUAAGUCUACUUCAUCAAUCAACAUAACCCAUAAAUAUAUUGCUUGAAGUCAACCUAAUGGUGCUAUUUGAUUGACUUAAUUUUUCCAUGAUGUUAACAAUGUGCUUUUUCAUACAAGAUUACAACCAAAUUUCCAUAAUUUUUUUUAAAAAAAAAGAGAUAGGUAGCACGCUACUCGCUUCGUUUAUUUAAUUUAGAAAUAAACAUAGCUGAAAAUGUGAAUCAACUAGGAUUCAAACUUGAGAUCUCGGGUACCAACCACCAAAUUCUUUGGCACUUGCUCUAGAAACAGUCGGUCCAAAUUUCCAUAAUUGAAAUAAGUUAAUGUGCAGUAUUAAAGUGAUGAAAAUUCUUGGCUGUGAAUAUUAAACUACAAAAUGCAAAAAAAAAAAAAAAAAAAAAAAGGCGCAAGUGGAGAUUAAAUAUUCUUCAUGAAUUUGGAUCCAUUAAUUUCAGAAGAGAUAGGCUAAUCAUUUUAUAUAUAAUAUUUUGUUUUUGGAUCUACUGAUUCCUGGAUCAGCUAUAGAGUAUCCAAAGUAACAUCCUCAAGGGGCUUAGAGACUUUAUAUUUGAGAUUAAAUACAUUAAGUCAUAAAGUGUCUUAAAUACAUUAAGACACAUUAUGUCACCAAUGUGUACGGGCCCGCAACUUGGGACGGUAAAGAGGCAUUCUACUUAGAAUUGGCUCAGCUAAAAUCGUGUUGCGAAGGAAGAUGGGUUAUCUGCGGAGAUUUCAACAGUAUUAGGAGACAGGAAGAGCGAAAAGGGAAGACCUAGAGUGCUCAAGCUACGAAUUGCUUCAAUGAGCUUAUAAGGGAACUUGAAGUAAUCGACCCACCAAUGUUGAAUCAAUCCUUCACUUGGUCAAAUAUGCAAAAAAACCCUACCCUCGCGAGGCUUGAUCGUUUCCUAGUCUCAACGGAGUGGGACCAGGACUUUCCUUUGUCCAGAGUUGAAGCGCUCCCUCGUGUUACAUCUGAUCACUGUCCCAUUCUCUUAUCAGUCGAGAAGAAUAUCAAGAGGAGGAUAAAAUUGUUUAGAUUCGAGGAAGCUUGGCUAAAUCACGAGGGAUUUAUCGACAAAUUACCUGGAUGGUGGAAGGAACAGGCCCCGGAAACUUUAGCGGUGCUUCCUUUCACAGCGAAACUAAGACAUUGUCGACAAAGAAUUAAGGAAUGGUGCAGGCAAGAGUUCUAUAGCAUCAGAGGAAUGAAAGAUGAGUUAAUGAUGCAAAUACUCGAGAUCGACAAAGCCGAGGAACAAGACAUUCUUUCAGAGGAAAGAGCACGAGUAAGGGAAGAGCUAAAAGCAAAAUUAGGAGGAAUUCUGAACGAUGAAGCUACUUUGUGGCGAACUCGGGCUAAUCAGCAUUGGUUAAGGGAAGAAGAUCGGAACACUAAGUAUUCCAUAGUAUAGCCAAUGGGAGAUGAAGAGCCAAUGAAAUCGGCGUGGUUGUUGAUAAUGGAAGGGUUUAUCAGGCUGAGGAGGAAAAAAAGGACUAUUUUUUUCGUAAAUUUAAGGAGCUAUUCACGCCGGAAGAAUCAACCCCAACCUCUUUUGGGGACUGGAGCGGCCUCUUUUCCUCUGGUAGGGUUGCGGAGGAUAAACUUAGGAGGCGAAAUGAACAUUUUAGCAUUGACGAAAUAAAGCACGCAGUCUUCCAACUGGGGAGUGAUAAAGCGCCGGGCCCGGAUGGAUAUUCAAUAAGGUUCUACCAAACCUUUUGGGAUACUGUAAAGGAUGAUCUAUUCAACCUUUUCCAGGAUUUGUACGAGGGAAGGCUGUCUACCACCCUCAUCGACUAUAGCUAUAUUUGCUUGAUACCUAAGAAGGUAGGAGCAGAGAGAGCAAGUGACUUUCGACCUAUUAGCCUGCUUAACGGUAUCCAGAAGAUCGUGUCGAAGGUGCUAGCCAAUCGGCUAGUAGUAGUUCUGAAUGACUUAAUUUCCCCAUCACAAUCAGCUUUUGUGAAGGGGAGGAACAUCACCGACGCGUAUGCUACAGUAUCGGAACUUAUAGGGUGGGGGUGUAAGAAGGGAAUUGAGGGGGUCGGCAUAAAAGUGGAUUUCGAAAAGGCCUAUGAUAGGGUUCAUUGGCCGUUUCUCUUCAGUAUACUACGGUGGUGGGGGUUCGACAAUAAAUGGUGCGGAUGGAUAGAACAAUGCGUGUGUAAUGCGAAAGUAGCUAUAUUGGUCAACGGGGAGCCGACCAAUUGGAUUAAAACUAAGAGAGGAGUGCGUCAAGGAGACCCGCUAUCGCCCUUCCUGUUCUUAUUGGUGGCGGAGUGUCUAGCCAAAAUGACCAACGUGGCCACAGCUAACAACCUCCUUAAAGGGAUUGGCCCAUCCGAUGAAAGUCGAACUACUCUCAUACAGUUCGCGGACGAUACUUUCCUCUUCUGUGAGGCGAGGAAGAAAUAUAUGAAAAAUCUUAGACUGAUGUGGAGCCUAUUUGAGUGGGCCUCGGGAAUGAAAAUUAAUAGGGAGAAAUCGGAACUCUACUAUAUGGGGCAGAUUGAGGGCAGGGCGGCAAGACUAGCAAAUCUAUUGGAGUGUAAAGUCGGGACCCUGCCAACCACUUACCUUGGCUUUCCCCUCUCCCCUAGACGCCCCACAAAGGCGGUAUGGACAGAGAUCAUUCAGAAAAUUCAGCGCAGAAUUGAGGGAUGGCAAGCCAAACUUCUCUCAAGAGGAGGUAGACUCAUACUAGUCAACGCUGUCCUUACCAACCUACCCCUUUACUUCCUAUCUGUGUUUAAGGCGCCUAAGUGGGUGAUCAAGCGUAUUGAAGCCUUACGCAGAGACUUUUUCUGGAAUGGGGUAAGCAACUCUCUAGGCAAGGGAUGUUUGGUGGCUUGGAAGAGCGUCUGUUUAAGUAAAAUACAAGGGGGGUUGGGCAUUUUGGAUAUAGCUAUUAUGAACCGGGCACUCCUAAUCAAAUGGUGGUGGAGAUUCCAUACUGAACCACAGUUACAGUGGAUCAAGAUUAUCCGAGCCAUGUAUUACCGAAGAAGAAGACCUUUGAGGGAGGGAAAAAGCUUCAGCCCCUACUCAUACUGGUGGAAGGGAGUCGUUAACACCGGUGUCUUGUUUCAUUGGGGCAUUUCCCACUCACUGGGUAAUGGAAACUCUAUUGAUUUUUGGACGGACAGAUGGUGUGGGGACACCUGCUUACACUUAGCUUUUUCGGAGAUCUACGCGCUGACGGAACACAAUUUAAUAAAGGUCAAGGAUUGCUUUAACAGUCAGGGCUGGAACUGGACUAGGAUGUUGAGUGAAGAGCUGAUUAUAAGGUCCGGGUUGGGAGCAAAACUCUCGGUACUCAAGGAUAGGGUUACUGGAUACUAUGUAACGCAAGGACCGGAUACGAUACGUUGGAGAUGGUCGACCAACGGAUUAUUCUCGGUCAAAUCGGCCUAUACCAUGUUGAACGACAGGGGUAUGAGGGACAGACGUGCUAACAAAAUUUGGAAUCUACGUAUACCUCUCAAGGUUAAAGUGUUCUGUUGGCUAGUACUCAAGAAGAGGCUCUUAACAGCUGAUAACCUCGCGAAGAGAGGUUGGUAUGGUGAUACGACAUGUAUGCUAUGCAUGUUACACGAUGAGACCGUGAACCAUCUACUCGCGCAAUGUGUCUUCACUAAGUUUAUCUUGGUGAUGGGUGUGGAGAAUAUUCAAGCUACGGAGAUGGGAGACGAUGUUAUUCAUAUCUGGGAUAGGUGGAUGGUGAAGAAAAGAUGGCAGGAUACGAGGCAUAGCCUCCCUGAAUUGGCUGCGUGUUGGUGGACUUAGGCAAGGCUAGGAACGAUAUGAUCUUUCGAAACAUCCAACUAGAUCCCCUCGUCGCGGUGUACAGAUUUAAGGAGCUGCUGAAAUCUUGGGAGCUGUGUGCAUAAACUGCUAGACGUCCUACCAUAGCGGUUUUUUUUAUUUUAUUUUAUUUUAUUUUAUUUAUUUUUAUUUUCGCGCCCUUCCUUCGAGGCCCUGGCUGCCUCACCAUGUAGCCUAAUUCAUAUUUUCAAUGAAUGAAGCAGGUAGCGUCUACCUUUCUCAAAAAAAAAAAAAAAAAAAAAAAAAAAAAAAAAUAAAGUGCCUUCAUAAGUAAAAUUCCCAAGUUGUAGAUCCAUGCACGAUAUUGUUAGAUUUUAGUAAAGUAUGAGAGGAUAAUGUAAAUUGUAACUUGAAAGAUCGUUCUACACAUUUGCAUGAUCCAAAAUUAGUAUUAACACUCCCGCUCGCAUGUACGGUGAAUAUUAGAUGAAUGAUGCUAAAAAAUAAAGCAUGCGGGAAUUAAACUCGAGACAUCUUUUGGAAGGAAGAGAAGGAUUGGUUGUAAUACCAAAAUUAGUAAGAAACAACUUGAGAUUAAUCUUAACAUGAUUAAUCUCAUAAGUACAAUGUUCUCUCUAAUGCGAGUUUUUGGUCGUAAGUAGGUAGAUUAAUAAUUUUAAAUUAGCACUAAUCAAAUUACCUCUAUCGAAUAAUUCAAAGCUACUUUUCAACGUCCUUUCAAAAGAAAAUAUAAAAUUGAGGAAAAAGUCAAUUUCCCUUAUUGCUUGGUGACAUGGUUGCACAAGAAAGCUUAUAAAUGUUAGGAAAGGUCAAACCUUGAUUACGAUAAUGUCUUUUCUAAAUUGCAAGUUACAUUAAUUCAAUUAAUUAUUGCUAAUGUCGAAUUAAAUUUUUGGAUCAAUUUAAACCCUCUUACUUAGUCUCAUCCCGUGUGGAAAAAAGAAACACACUCCAGGUUAUGACCCCUGUUUUUUUGUCCUAAUUGCUUCACAGGAAAGUAAUUAAGAAUUAUUAUGAAAGAAUGCUGAACUAAUCCGGGAAUUUAAGAAGAUAAUAAUUGCAGCUUUGUCUUUUUUUCACCCCCUUUUCUUCUUAGUUUUAUUCAAGUAGCUAGAUAAGAAUCAGGAUUAAGUAAAUUUUCAAUUUUAAGGCCUCCUUUCUUUAUAUUUUGGAAGAGAAUAAUGAGUUAGAGGAAAAGAAAUAUGUUAAUUUGUCGAUAAAACUCCAGAAAUUAUAACAUAGCUGAAUCGAUUGGAAUCGAAAUAUGGUGAUACCUUUACGAAAACAAACGUAAUACAUUUUUUUCAUUAAACUUUUUUUAUCGUGUAUAACACAUUCUCUCGCAAUUCCAAACAGAGCCUAGACCCCUUUUACGAGUUGCCUCAAAGGGACAGCAGCGGCCUUCCGAACCAAGUUGAUCUCGUAUUCCUCUUUGAGAUUUGCAUCAGGUUACGCAAUUUUUUCGCAGUUCUUCUGAUUUGUUCUGAAUCCUUAAAUCUCUGGCAAAGCAGUUAACUUCAAGUAGUGAUUGAAGAGCCAUUAUGGGCACACAUUAUGCUCUCUCAAAAAUGAUCAUGGACACAAAUCUCUUCGCUUCUGCAGCUUGCUUCGUAGAAACUAAUAAAAAAGUUGCUUCUUAUUUCAAACGAUUAAAACUGUAGUGAUCUGUAAUAAAAAUUACAGAUCACAGCACUCACCAGGAGUGUUUCUUCAUAGAAAAUCAAGCUGACUUAUUCGGCAUUAGUACAUAACCUUCAUUCUUCACUAAUACCCUAGGAUUAUUUUAACUUACAGAUAUGAACGGAUAGAAACAAAUAUAAAGCAUCCAUGUUCACUGCUGCUGAUGCUGCAGCAGCUAGCGAAACUUAUCUACACCGAUAAUUUCUCAACAUCAUCUCGCUUUGACCGGACAUAUUCAACUCUUCAAGUUCUCUCCAUUUAGAAGUUGGGUUGGCGGCUCUAUUUCCUUCUUUGAGUCCUCGAUGUCUUUGGUGCUUAGAAAGCUCGGUUGAUUAGUUGACGACAGUAGCCUCGCCCACAUCCUGUCUGUGAUCACAACUUUGUUCUGCGCUUCUGUGAUCCUCUGCAACAUUGACAGAAAAGAACAUGAUUUUAAAAGACUUAACAGCAUAUCAAAGAAAUAUAGUUAAAAUAACGCAACCAUGACCACUAUAUAUUGAAAAGACACCAAUGCAUUUAUUAACUCAUUUCGGUUAGCAUAUAAGAAAUGAACAAAGUUUUCACUUGCAACAUAUGUUAUGCGGACAUCUCACUCUUCUGAUUUCUCGUCUACUAGAUGCCGCAAAUGACACAAUUCUCAUCCACGAACAGCAAAUUAAAUGAAUUCUACCUAAAAUUUGCUAGAUGUCUAUUACCCGACAAUAUUACAGCUUUUCCUUAUUAGUGUAUGAUGCUUCUGAGGCAAGGACGGGCGUAAAAUGCGCUAAACGCAUUCCUCUCAAAGAAAACAAGGGUGCUUACUCUAAAUUUUGUUAUAUACAGAAAGAAGGAACUGUCCUUCAGAGAGCUCAUGACAGAUCACAGGGAGGCCUUCAAUGGGUGAUAGUUGGAUACAUGCCGUUCAACUCGAGACCUCUCCAAUGAGUUAUUACUGUCGACCAAAUCAACCUCUUCCUCUUAAAGACUCAAGUAGCUCUCAGUUGUUACUUACCACAUAUAUAUAUUAUAAUAACUCACCAAGUGAGAAAACAAAUAGAACUCAUUUGAGCUAAUUGAAGGGAUCAGCACCUUUGGACCUUCAUCAGUUGAAGACAACAUUUAAGAAAAGAAAGUUGCUGAUGAUGAGAUGAUGCUACUUACAUACAAAGGAAUGUAAGCAUGUCUUCCAUUAACAGGCCCAACAGUAAAACCAGUGUAUCCUGCCAUGGCACCAUGAAUUGCACUAUGAGCCAAUAAUGUGCAGUAGACAUUAUCUGAUGCAUUGCUCGGAAUUGCACGUAUCAUAUAUGUAGGAUCUGCAAUUAAAGCAUAUAACUUGUCAGAUACGAUCAUCCAAAUGGCGUUAGUAGAUCACAAUAAUAAAGAUAUUAUUUAAACCCACAGACCUAUAUAUUUCAGAUUGAUCGUCAUCUUCUGUAGUUUUGCAAAGUGAUCCUGCAAUUUGAAGAAUUUUAGUGACUAAUUUCAAAAUCAUGAGAUGGAUGCUUGAAUAAUUUUCCAAAACAAUUGGUAACACCUAGUGCUAAAAUUUUGGCAAGGAAUCUAACCUUUAUCUUUUGAGAGAGCCAAAGCCCAACAUCUAGGAGGAGCUUAUUUCCAGAAGCAUCUUUAUGGUCAAUGGACCGCAUGCUUUCAGCUAUAAGCUCCUGACCUGCACCCUCAGCAACAACAAUAACCAUAUGGCCAUUCUCCUUAAGGCGCUUCUCGAUGUACUCGAAAAGUCCGCCUUCCCCUUCUAGAUAGAAUGGCGAUUCAGGAAUCAAACAACAGUCCUGCAAAAUUAGAUUGUCGACCACUUGGUUACCAAGGGAAAAUGUUCCCCAUUUUACUGGAAGUUGACAACAGAGACAUCUUUGGUAGGUGACUUUUAUUUUGAAAGCCAAACGAUUAUGCUUAAGGAAUGAAGAACAAAAGAAAUCAACAUACCACAUCUCGACUUGCAAGAGUAGCAUACAUUGCAAUAAAGCCUGCAUCAGUGAAACUUCAAUGUAACUACACAAGGUAUGUGAGCAGUAACAUUGGCAACUCAAGAAAUUUCCAGAGGUACUUUCUUGUAAGACUACGCACACUAGGAAGACUCUAAUGAAAGCUCACAGUAGCAACAUGAUGAAAGUGCAGUUUAGAAGGGAAACCUACCACUGUAGCGCCCCAUUAGCUUCACAACACCAAUACCAUUUUCAAAACUUUGAGCCUCCACAUGUGCUGCAUUUAUUGCACGCUGGGCCUCCUCUACAGCAGUAUCGAAACCAAAUGACUUGUCGAUUACCUAAACAAGUGACCCGAUAUUAAACACUGACUUGGAACAUUCUAAUCUGCAACUGACAACAAAAGUAGUUAGAUAGGAUAAGAAUAGGAUAUCAAACUACCGCAAUGUCAUUAUCUAUUGUCUUCGGAAUACCAACAACAGCAACUUUAAGACCCCGUCUUUGGAUUUCCUGUAGAGCACGCUCAAUAGUAUCACAAUCAGUAUUAUGACAAUAGCUAUUCUAUUCUGUGGUCAGUAAUAUACCAAAUCUGUUCUUUAAAAAACAAGAGGAGAGCACAUGAUGUAGGACGGAACAUACUAACAUCAAAGCUGUCCAAUAAAACAGUGCCUUUUAUACAGUUUAUUACAACGUUUACCUCAAAUAUGACAGAGGCCCCUUUUUGAGUACCAUCUCCUCCAAUUAUAUAAACCUGGAAGACAGUAAAGUAGACCAGCAUUCUCAAUAUACAUGAAGCACGCAAAACUUGGAUGACAAUUCCUAAUAAAAAUGACACUGAAAAUUAAACAAUAAAAGGUAUAUCAAUGAUGUCCACUUACCUGAUUAAUUCCACGAUCUUCAAUACUGUCAACAAUCUUUGAAGUGUCUUGACCCCCUCGUGAUGUUCCGAGGAUUGUUCCACCUCUUUUGUGAAUAUCAUUGACAUUCUUGGGAGUCAGCGUAAUGGUGUUGCGUGCGUAGAAACCUCUGUAUCCACCCUAUGGAUGCCACAACCCAAAUCAGAUGAUGUCGCAACAAUUUUUAUGAUGAAACUAUAGCAGACAUUUGUAAAGCAUGAUGCAUUUUGCAGAAUAAGGUGGGUUUUUUGAGUUAUUUCCCGAUUAUCCCUCAACUAAACAGUGCUGAAUUUUGUCUCAUCUGCAAUCCCAAUGUGUUGAGAAGAAUACAAGAAAAGGAUUAAAAUAUCUGCAAAAUGAACACAUUAAAGAGAAUUUAAGCACAUAAUAAUGUUAACAAGAAUUAAUUGCUUGCAGCAAGUAAAAUCACGGGAAUGGCUACACAGAUAAUCUGAUGAAAAAUUCAAUGACUGCGAUCUGAAUAAGAGCACUACAAUAAAUUAGUGAACUAAUCUUUCUAAAUAGACGUCACUUACUCACAGCUUUUCUUGUAAGUUAAAUGGUGUAAAAUGAGACAAUAGAUAUAGUUAGAAAAUAAUUGGUGUAACAUAAGCAAAUUAAAUAGAUUCAAGAAGGCAAAAUUUUACAGUUAACAGGAACACUAUCUAGACUUUUUGAACUCCAACAGUAUGUGAACUUCACUUCAUAGGCAGCACACAUAAAUAAUAUGCAAUUACUGAAAUAGCUCUGAGCAAUCGACAUUUAAGUUAAGGGCAUUAAGGGCUGUUGCCUGACCUCUAUGCCGAGAAUUUUGGUGAUGCCAUACAUGUGACACAAGCCACAUACAAUUUCCCUUAUCACAGUAUUAAGUCCAGGGCAAAGACCUCCGCAUGUUACAAUGCACGCACGCACCUCAUCCGACUCAAAAUACACCUGUGCAAAAUCCAAGAGAAGUCAGCAGAUCGAUUCACACUUCACUACUACUUCAGGAAGAUGAGGCAUCAAUGCGUACCCUCUGACGAGGACCAGCGCGGCGAAAAUGGGUCCCUCUGGGGCUGCUCUUUUGAACAACAAUCUACAGAAGGAUCAAAAUCGAAAAGUAAGCAUCAACCACCUUAACUAGAUUUCCAGUAUCUGUUCUUUGUUCUGUACAACCACAGCGAAUCUAUGAGUGCUGUGCCAUGGACGAACUACGAACUCGACGAAGAAAAACUAGAACUUGAAAAUUUUGCUUAAGAACCAUCUAAUUAUAUAAAAUUGGAAAAAGGAAGCCGAAGAGCUCACCUUCUGAGCAACGGUAUCAUCCUUAUUAACAAAAUAUUGCCUAGAAGAUGAAAUACAAAGUUUUAGGAACUCAAUACAGUGGCAUGUUCAAAAUAGUUACAGUAAAUGAUCAUCAAUGUGGAAAAUACGAGAAUUUGAAUUUGAUUAUGGAGAGGGGUGAAAAAAUCUUACUUGACAACAGAGUAAGCUGGAUUAUCUUGCAGCGGAUUUGGAUAGGUCUGGAAUCGACAACAAAUAAAUGACAAAUUAUAAUUAAUAAAUAAAAAAUCUAACGUUAACUAAUAAAAGGUUAUAGAAAGAGAAAAAAAAAGGGUAUGAUCAAAUCGCAGGACACGUAAAUGACGAGUUGUGAUCAUCUAAAAUACACACGAUUAACAACCAAAAACUACAAAACAAACACUCAAUGAAUCAAAUUGCUAAUUUUUCAUUAAAAAAAUCAAAUUACUAAUUUCUCAUCACAAAGGGGGGGGGGNAAAAAAAAAAAAAAAAAUCAAAUUGGUAAUCUUCUCAUAAAAAAAUCAAAUUGCUAAUUCAGAAUCUAAUUUGGAUAUCCAUAAAAAGCGAUUAGUUGAAAAAUAACAGUUCAACGGCACCAAAAUUUGAAAAAAAGAAAAUUACAUUCAGCAGCUCUCCAAAUCAAAAAGGUCGACUUUAUAACUCCAAAAAAACUAAUAAAAAAAAAAAUAAAAAUAAUAGAAUCUGUGGCUACUAAUUUUUCAGCUCAAAAUUCGAAGAAAUCAACCAAAUCAUUACCAUUUUUUUUUUAAAAAGAAUAAACUCCAACUAAUCUCAAAGUGAAGAGCAUUACAAACACCAUUUCCGAUCAAAGGAGUCGAAUAAAACAAACCAAAAAAAAAAAGAAAAACCCCUAAUAAACUCACUGGGAGAUCGGGGAUAUAAUCCAUGAGGUGGGGCACGUCCUCGAGAACGUACCCCGCCUCCCCAACAACGAUCUUCGGGCUCAGCUUGCUCUCGCUCCCCAUCUUCCUCGACGAUCGGGGCUUCGAGUCCCCGUUCUCCAGUGGGGCAUUCACCACCGAGAGCGAGCUCCGGAGGUCGAGGAGGCGAUCGCUCGUGCUCGAUUUCGCUCGAACCUUCGGGGCCGCGGAGUGGUUAGGCGACGACUCCAUUCGCGAGGGCCGAAGCUCCACAAAAUGCGAGACGAGGACGAAGCUGCUUCCGAGUUCUUGGGACCGACAUAUUUAUAGCGAAGGAGACAAAGAGAGAGAGAGAGAGAACGAGAGGCUUCGUCGUCUUCUUCUUCUUUUUUCUUUUUUUUUUUUUUUUUUUUUUUUUUUGUGGUAGCGUUGCAGUGAUGAUGACGGGAGAGAGAAGGAGAUCAGAUUAUGAGAGUGCGUUGUUCUUAUAAUAAAUGGCGUCAAAGUUGGAGAAAUUUACGAUGAUGCCACGGGAAAGUGUGGAAUAUUCCGAGCUAAUAAAGUACACCUUUGGUUUUCAAAUUAUGAACCAUGUAAUAUUUUACUUCUGAAAUUUUAAUUUAUUAUUUUAAUUUUAAAAUUAGUAUAAUUAAGUUUUUAAUUUACUCGAGUACAAAUUAAUGGAUUAUUAAUAUAAAAAUAAUAUAGUAUUUUAAUUGUUAGCAUAUUAUUAAUUACAAUACUGUUAUAUUACUUUAUAUUAGUGGUAUUAAUAUUUGACUAACUAAAUUAGAUUAUAUGAUUUGGUUGUAAUAAUUUUAAAAAUUUCAGCUAAAAAUACUAAAAGUUAAAAUUUGACAAUCAAAAUGUUACUUACCUUAUAGUUUCAUGACCAAACGUGCAAUUUAUCCUUAAAUUUAAAAUAUAAAAUUAUUUUAAAAUUUUAAAAUAAAAUUUAAAAUUCGAUAUAAUUAUUUUAUUAAAUUUUGAGCUUAAAAAAAAAGAAAAAUCUGUCGAUGAAAAUUAAGGUGAGCACUUUACAUCACAAGUUUUAAUAAUUCAUCUGAAGUUUUUAUAUUUGUAUACUUUGCACAUUAUUAUGAAUUUUAUUUGGCAAAAAUAACUAUAGAUAUUCCUAUGUAUGUAAAACGCACUUUGAACGAUGAGUGUAAAAGAGCAUUUUUCGAAAAUAGCAUUUUUUAUGGGUUUUUCGGCAAUUUUCCAUUGUGUUCAGAGCUAAAAAGCCAAUUGAUGAGUAGUUCUGUACUGCUUGGUUCGGGUAUAAGGAAGAACUAGCUAAUACAGAGAUAGGUACAAGUAUAGAUAAGAAAAAUAGCGUUUGGAUGAAAAUUAGAUUGUUCCCGGAGAUAAGAAAAUAUUAGGUAGUUUUAUAUAGAAAAUAGAGGUGUUGAUGGGGAUAAUCGAGAACUAUUAUUCUAGGGUAAAAAAUUAGCGUUUGAAUAUAAAAGGGAUAAAGGUUUAUUCCUAUUCCUAUCCCCUAAUCAAUAUAGUGAACAAUAAAUAUAUUCUUAUAAAGUUUAACUUUUAUAUAUUGUUUCUGUAAAAGUUCUAAUAUUUUUAAACAUAUCUUUCUGAUUUAUUACCAUUGAAAAAUAUUAGAGAACUGUUUAUAUCUUUAAUUUUACCAUCACAAAUAUAUCAUUUUAAAAAUUACAAUAAUAUAAUAUAAGAAGGAUAAAAAUAUUAAAAACCAACCAGAAUUAAAUAUCUAACCUAUGAUUAAUUAAAAUUUUCUAAUAAAUUCUAACGGUAGGGAGAUAUUUGAAAAUAUCAUAUAUUUUAUAAAAACAAUAUAAAAAAAUUAAAUUUUAUAGAAAUAUAUUUAUUAUUUACUAUAUUUAUAGAUAUCUAUAUGAAAUUAAUCCUUAAAUAAAGAGUGGUAUAAAUAAGCAAGAUGUAGUAAAUUCAUACAUCAGGAUUCGUAGAGGAUCCCUCGUUCGAUCGCUUAGAUUCCCCGUUGUGAGUUUGUGACGUGGCACUUCAAAGAUUAAGUUGAGGGAGGGGCGUUGGCCAAUGCACGAGAUUCAACGCCCAGCUUUAGAGAGGGGAAAGGAAAAAUUUCUAGAUGAAAAUAAAACUUUCCAGAGAAGGAAAAAAAAUUUUAGAUGGAAAUAAAACUUUCUAGAGAAAAAAUUACCUUCCACAAAUAAAUAAAUCUACGUCGGUGAAGCUCUGGUCUCAAUAUGCUUCGAGUACAAAACGAUAAGAAAAAGUUAAAAACAAACUAAAAAAAUUUAUUUUGAUUCAAUCUCUAUGCGCUAAGAUAUAGAACAGAAGGCAAAGAAAAUUUUCUUUUAAUAUGUUGAUUCGCUUAAAAAAAAUUUUCGUCUCCAUCCUUCUGUUUUAAACGAUAAGUAAAAGUAAAAAAAAUUAAAGAUAAAAAUUAAUCCGUUCCAAAUCCGUUCUGAUCGUCAAGAAAAUAAAAUCGAGCCACAACGUCCGUAUUCCUAUUCUCAAAAAAGAUUAUAGAUGUAAUUCUGUCUAAUUAUUUAUCUUAAUAUGUAAAAAAUCUCAAUAAAAAAUAUUUAUAUCUAUUUAAUUUUUAAAAAAUUCUUAUGUCGUGACUGUUAAAUAUAAAAAAUAUUUAAAACACCGUUCUCUAACAGCUUAAGCUUUUAAAGUACAACGGUUAUUUCACAUGGUAUCAAAUGUUUAAAACACCAUUCUCUAACAGCUUAAGCUUUUAGAGUACAACGGUUGUUUCACAGUAACAGAUGUUUAAUAACUAUUUCUACCAAAUUUAUAUUUUUGAAUUAAUCAUUCAAAAAGUUCUUACUGGCACGAUUGAUUUUUUUCUCUGAUGUUAAAAACUUAUUAGGGUAUCAAAACACAAACUCACCUAAUCUCAAAUAGAACUUUAAUUAAUCUAAUAAUUUCUAAUCCAACAUUAAUUAUCCUAUUGAUUGC